This 3261-nucleotide long non-coding RNA is filed under the name Homo sapiens (human). RNAcentral's name for it is "HSALNT0190345". The record is from RNAcentral. Lineage: Eukaryota; Metazoa; Chordata; Mammalia; Primates; Hominidae.
ACAUAUAAUAGUUUUAUUCCCAGUCUUCACAUACACUUUUAAAAGUAAUUGGCAUGUGUCAUUUUAUAUGAAAACUUAGAUUCAUUAUAUUCAAGGGAAACACCGAGUUUGUGGGGUGGUGCAUUGUGACUCUAUUCCCACAAGACUCCAAUUAUUCAUCAUUCAAAGCAUAACAGAAUUCCUUAGUAAAUAGGCUGGAAUAAAUCCCCAAACUGCCUUGAGUUUCUUAUGAAAACAUUUUGAAACCUUUAAUGCUGGAUAUAUCAAUAUAUCACAAAACAAAACUCAAUGGGCUUAACCAUUUUAUCCCAGCAGCUCUAACCUUCAUUUUUCUACAUUUUCUUGCAGAGACACAUAUUUCGAAUGUUUUUCUACUUCUGGUUUAUGCUUUUUCAUGUCAGAAAACAUUACCUUUUAUCGUUCACUCAGCUGUGUAAACCAGGUUGAUAUCACCUCUUGCCUAGAACAGUGUACACCAAGCUUUUAUUGAUCAUGCAUAUAUAUCAGUAAGAAACAUUCAGCAACAAUUUCCAAAAUGUGUAUAUUUAUUUUGUUUCUAAAUUAUGCAAGAAACUCUGGGCAACCAUAUACUUGACAAUCAGAAAACAGUGCAACAGAAAGUACAAAACAAGAAGUUACAAAUAAAUAGAAAGUUCAAAUACUGUCUUUCUACACAGGUGGUAUUGGUCUUGUUUAUCCCUAGGUGGCAUAUGCUUUACUUGGAGAACGUCUAUCCCAAGUUCCAUUAACAGUCCCCCUGCCUGGUUAAAAGCUUUGAGUCUUAACUUCCAUAAUGCAAUAUUUUUAACAUGCAGUGCUUUCACAUCCUUCCCCAAUUAAAGCACUUAUAUGUCUUCCUGUUUUUUCUAAGAAUGAGAUACAAACUCUUUAAGAUGCUUCACAAAGCCCCUUUAUGACCUGGCUAUUUUCUUAUUAUCCAGUUUUAUUUCUUGUUAUUCCUGUCCCACUCUUCUCCUGCCUCCCACAAAUAUGCACCUUGUCUAUGCUGAAGUGUUUUCAGAAUCAAAUCCAGGUGACCAUGCUUUUUCUCCUCACUAAGACUUUGUCUAUCCAUUUAAUUCUGCUUAGAAUAUUUUCUCCUUUCUCCUACCCACUGUAUCUGAUUAAGUCCUACUUAUCCUUCAUAUGUCAUUUUAGAUAUAAUUUCAUCUGGAAAAUGCCUCUCCUAUAAUCUACCCUGGUGCAUAAAAUUCAUCCUUAUGCUAUUCCAUGCCAGUGAAUUUUAAUUGUCAGUUUGUCUUUUACAUUGGCUUAGUGAUUAUUACACAGUGGGGUAAUCUAAAUCACUUAGAAACUUUCUUUAAGUCCAAUUUUUUCAACCUCAUCCAUAGAUAUUUUCAUUCUAUGCAUCCAGGAUAGAGCCCAGGAAUGUGCGCUUUUAAAGCACCAGGGUGAUUCUUAUGCACAUGUUUGCACUAGAAUGGAUGCUUAUUCACUGCUAUAUUUUCAGCAUCUUUUAGGAAUCUUGGCACAUAAUAGGUGCUUAAUAAAUAUUUUUUGAAUAAAUAAGUGAGAGGGAUAUGAUUGAAAAGAUAACUGAUUUUUAAGGCAGAGGUAACAGAAUAAGCAAGAAAAUGAAUGCAUAAAAUCUCAAAAUUUGCUGGGAUACCUUUAAAUAUAAUUUUUGUCUUUCUCACUUUCUAAAAUGCAAGUCUUCAGUGACAGAGAGGUAGCAUACUUAAAAUGAAUGGGCCAGCUUGAUGUUGUCCUCCUAUCUGUGCAGCAACUAGUGGAGAAGCUUCUGACAGGUAAAAAUUGUCUUUCAUAUGGGUUUUGGUAAAUGAAAAAGGAAUUGGUUGGGUUAGAGAUUGUGGUUGGGUAGCAGAGAGGAAGAGGAAAAGCUGAAGCCAAAGUACACAGGUUUGUAGAUUGUAUUAAAUAGUUCGGACUUCAUUCUAAAGAUGCCAUCCUGGUCCCUAAGGAAUACUGACUUAACUCAGAAUGCUGACUAGACCAAAACAUGGAAUAUUAACAUAUAUCAUACCUUUAAAAGCUGAGGAUCCCUUUCUGCCACCUGACUCUACCAUGCGGAGAGCCAUAUGCUUUAUGAUCAGUUGCUCCUCCCUGCCCACUCUCACUUAGAGUUUGCAGAGGCUCUGUUCACUGGCAAAUAUUACCACCACUGCAGACCAGAAGCAAAGACAAACCUGACUCCUCAGCCAAGUUGCUGCCUAAAUCUUCCAAAUCUCCACUGAAUUCUGUUAGGUCCACGUGGCCACUAUGUUCUAGGAUUUUAUGCUGAUUAUUCUCUUGGUGGCAUUUUCCUGAAGUCAAACUCACUCUUCUCUCAUCCUUCCUAAGGUGCAUAUUGGUUGGUUUGUUCUUUGCUACUUUGUUUUAGUUUUAGUUUUUCAUUACCCUUUUGUUCUUGGAAUUUGAGAACAAAAAUAGUGCUCUCCUCAUCCCUAAAUUUGUAUUAAAAUAAAAAAGUCCCAAUAUUAGGUCUAUAAGAGCAAGUUUGGAGAAUAUGGGUCUUAACUGGAGAUCCUAAUAUUAGGUUUAUAAGAGCAAGUUUGGAGAAUAUGGAGCUUAGAUAUUCAGGCAAGAGAGCUUGCUAACAUUUCACCUCAGAAUUAACCAUACACCUUCGAAUCACACAUUGAGCUUGACAACCGCAUGUUUCUGACCAAGGACCUGUUCCCUGAAACUUACUACACAGAGGAACAAAGGAGACCAUGGCACAUCUUCUGUGCACAGAGGAAAAUCCCUCAAACAAGAGGUCUGGAGGGUCUGCCCAAGCCACGCAUGCCCGGCUCAUUUCCAACCUCAGCACUCAGUGAAGUCAGUCCACUACCUAGGAAGGAGUAAAUAAGAUGGGUAGAGAGACCAGAAUUGUUAUUUUGAAAAAUGACUCUCUCUAUGGGAACGUGAGUCAGGAAUAAGUCAUCUGCCCACAGACCAUAACCAUUUCAGUAAGCAUUACUUCACUUCUUCACUUUUAGUGUAAACUCUCUUUCCCCAAUUCCUUUCUCAACUAUAAUGUAUUUAUUUUCUCAAACCCAUCUGCAGAUAUAUCAUGAGUUGGAAUCCACGCUCUCAAUCAAUGUCCCUAAUGCCAUUUCUAAUUUUUUUACUCCCUCAGCUUCUGGUGAAAAUCUCUACCUUUCAGAGGCUUUUAUCCCUUGUGUCUAUCACCAUCUAACUAGUACUUCUCAUUGUUAUGUCUUUUUUUUUUUUGCGGCACUUUUUAUUUAUUUAUUUUUGUUUCUUUUUUAUAUUUUAUUAUUAUUAUACUUUAAG